RNAcentral lists this ribosomal RNA (695 nucleotides) under Kluyvera sp. RNAcentral's name for it is "bacterial SSU rRNA". It matches the Rfam family "Bacterial small subunit ribosomal RNA", at positions 54 to 740 of the family's 1533-position model. The record is from RNAcentral. Lineage: Bacteria; Pseudomonadati; Pseudomonadota; Gammaproteobacteria; Enterobacterales; Enterobacteriaceae.
CAUGCAAGUCGAACGGUAGCACAGAGAGCUUGCUCUUGGGUGACGAGUGGCGGACGGGUGAGUAAUGUCUGGGAAACUGCCCGAUGGAGGGGGAUAACUACUGGAAACGGUAGCUAAUACCGCAUAACGUCGCAAGACCAAAGUGGGGGACCUUCGGGCCUCACACCAUCGGAUGUGCCCAGAUGGGAUUAGCUAGUUGGUGAGGUAAUGGCUCACCAAGGCGACGAUCCCUAGCUGGUCUGAGAGGAUGACCAGCCACACUGGAACUGAGACACGGUCCAGACUCCUACGGGAGGCAGCAGUGGGGAAUAUUGCACAAUGGGCGCAAGCCUGAUGCAGCCAUGCCGCGUGUAUGAAGAAGGCCUUCGGGUUGUAAAGUACUUUCAGCGAGGAGGAAGGCAUUGAGGUUAAUAACCUUAGUGAUUGACGUUACUCGCAGAAGAAGCACCGGCUAACUCCGUGCCAGCAGCCGCGGUAAUACGGAGGGUGCAAGCGUUAAUCGGAAUUACUGGGCGUAAAGCGCACGCAGGCGGUCUGUCAAGUCGGAUGUGAAAUCCCCGGGCUCAACCUGGGAACUGCAUUCGAAACUGGCAGGCUAGAGUCUUGUAGAGGGGGGUAGAAUUCCAGGUGUAGCGGUGAAAUGCGUAGAGAUCUGGAGGAAUACCGGUGGCGAAGGCGGCCCCCUGGACAAAGAC